GGAGGGCUAUAGCUUAAUGAUAGAGCAUCUUCUUUGCAUACAGAAGAUCUCAGGUUCAAUCUCUGGUAUCUCCA
Molecule: non-coding RNA, 74 nt
Organism: Podarcis lilfordi (Lilford's wall lizard)
Lineage: Eukaryota; Metazoa; Chordata; Lepidosauria; Squamata; Lacertidae
Source: the annotation of a GenBank genome assembly